UACGAAGGGGGCUAGCGUUGUUCGGAAUCACUGGGCGUAAAGGGCGCGUAGGCGGCUUUAUAAGUCGGGGGUGAAAGCCUGUGGCUCAACCACAGAAUUGCCUUCGAUACUGUAGAGCUUGAGACCGGAAGAGGUUAGUGGAACUGCGAGUGUAGAGGUGAAAUGCGUAGAGAUCAGGAGGAACACCCGGGGCGAAGGCGGCCCUCUGGCUCGACCCUGACGCUGAGGCGCGAAAGCGUGGGGAGCGAACGGG
This 253-nucleotide ribosomal RNA is filed under the name uncultured bacterium. RNAcentral's name for it is "partial 16S ribosomal RNA". It matches the Rfam family "Bacterial small subunit ribosomal RNA", at positions 524 to 776 of the family's 1533-position model. The record is from RNAcentral.